CUCCGGCCCUCCUCGGUCCUCACCUGUGCUCUUAAACCUUCCCCAUUCAUGAAGAACAACAAAUUUCCAUACCCACAUGAUUGUCCACGGAAUUUCUCGCCGUUUCGAAAACCCUAAUCCACAUUCUCAAUCAUAAUCUCGCUUAUUCUCUUCUUCAUCUUCAGCUUCAAAACUCAAAGAAGAGUGUUGUUUCAAACCAUCUCUUAAUUGAAGAGUAUUGAUCCAAUUGUUAAGUCCGUUGAUGAUGGAAAUGACGGGGGGAUCAAUUUCGAAGAGAAGAGAAUGCAAUUGACAGAUUAUGUACUUGGAAACCGUUGAGUUAUGCUGAGAGGAAGAUUUAGUUGAUAAAUGUCAAAUUCAUUUGGUGAGUAGAAACCAGCACUGCUUUCCGUCGAAGAAGACACAAGAAGAGUGGAUUGCUACACAAGACAUUGAGUAGAAACCAGCACUGCUUUCCGUCGAAGAAGACACAAGAAGAGUGGAUUGCUACCCUAAGGUUUAACUUACAAGCCAGGCCCAAAAAAUGUAGUGGUAUAAAGGACUAAUCUGAUGUAUGGAAGCUGGACCUGCAUGGUUUGGCAUGUUUCUGGAGCUGUUAACGCCUUAAAGGAGCAUCUUUGAAGGAUGGAGACUUCAAUCUCACGACAUCAUUCAAUAUUUCCAAAUGGAUUGGUUGACCCGAAACCUGGAUUUUCGAUUGAUUCUGUUAGUCGCUUCAGCAUGAAGGGAAAGACUGGCUGAGCAGGAAAUAACUUAGAAAAGCGCAGAAGUAUUACAUAUUACUUCUGCGCAGGAGUAUAAUUUAUAACAGGAAAGUGGGUGCUGUACAGUUUGCAGACAUUAUCUGGGCCUGAGUUUCUUCCGUGCAUUUAGCAGCCCCUCAAAGAUGCAGAUACUUCUCAGUGUCCAACGGAUGUUUCUCGAGUUCGCAAAUCUCAUCGAGCCCCAGGGUGUUUUUCAUGAUUCUCCAUAAUAGAAGCUCCAGAAUGGUACUACCAGCUCAUAUUCUGCACCCUAGGCUCCUUUUCCGUUUAGUCGCUGUCUGCUUCAUCUAUCCAUCCUUCUGUGAAGCAAAUGAUCAUAGUGACCUUCAGAUAUUAAUUGCUCUCAAAGAUUCUCUCGUCAUAAAAAGAGAUCUCCUUCCGAGCUGGUGCAACACAGAAGUUCACCAUGUAAUUGGUCUGGUAUAAGAUGCGUCGGUUCCAAAUUUCACGAGGUACAGUUUCCGUUUCCAAGCCACCUUGGGCGCUUAGAGCACUGAACCGUCUUUACGUCAACUAUUGUUCCCUCGCAGGCACUCUUCCUGCAAAUAUAUGGAAUUUGAAGAAUUUAGAGCCUUGAAAUGCUCAGGGAACUAAUACCUGAUAAGAAUAGGUUUACUGGCAGCUUACCUUCCACGGUUGGAGAACUUGGAAACCUCAUUGAACUGUCGGUACACGGCAACUCAUUUUCUAGGAAUCUUCCUCCAGGGCUUAAGAAUCUUCAGAAGUUGGUGUCAGUAGACCUGAUCAUGGACCUCUUCUCUGGGAAUCUGCCUCCAAGCAUUGGAAAUCUUAAAAGGCUUAUAUACUUGGAUGCUAGUCGUAACAAAUUCACUGGAAUAAUACCUCAAGAGCUUUGAAAUUUGUUACAACUCAGGUAACUCAACCUUUCGUGGAACUCACUGGAAGGACUUAUACCUUAGGAAGUAGGAAAAAAUUUCUGUCCAAUCUCUGAUAGUGGGAACAAUCUGAUAUUGGGAACAAUAAUAUCCUUUGAGAACUAACAACCAUAGGAAAUUGGGAAACUGCAAGAAGCUUAAGAUUCUCAAUGUCUAUUUCAAUUGUCUUUCUGGUCCUUUACCAUUAGAUGAGAACACCUCAGUAGUUGUAUGUAUUAUUGAAAACUUAAAAAAAUGUAGUAGUGAUUUCUCAACACAUUGUUUUCUUUUUGAAGCAUUCAACACAUCGUUUGGUAUGUGCA
Long non-coding RNA from Papaver somniferum (opium poppy), 1962 nucleotides. RefSeq lists it as uncharacterized. The record is from RefSeq and is a predicted model, not a curated record. The transcript has 5 exons. Lineage: Eukaryota; Viridiplantae; Streptophyta; Magnoliopsida; Ranunculales; Papaveraceae.